AAAAAUAAUUUUACGAGAGAAGCCAAGUCUUGAGUUAAUUGUCGGAUCAAGAUCACAACUAAAGAACGACUCAUGUAUAACUUUAUUUCUUUGCUUGAUCAUGAUCUUUGUUCGUCUUGUGCUUGAACCUCGUUAUGUGUCAAUUGCGCGCUUGUGCUUGGACCUCGUCAUAUGUCAAUUGCGCGUCGUUUGUCAUUUUUAAAAACCUACAAAUAUGAACACACGUUUAGUUUAGUGCCUUGAGAACG
RNAcentral lists this long non-coding RNA (248 nucleotides) under Nicotiana benthamiana. RNAcentral's name for it is "long non-coding RNA (NBEN_LNC018257)". The record is from RNAcentral. Lineage: Eukaryota; Viridiplantae; Streptophyta; Magnoliopsida; Solanales; Solanaceae.